UACGUAGGGUGCAAGCGUUUGUCCGGAAUUAUUGGGCGUAAAGAGCUCAUAGGCGGUCUGUCACGUCGGCUGUGAAAUCCCGAGGCUCAACCUCGGGUCUGCAGUCGAUACGGGCAAACUAGAGUAUUGCAGGGGAGACUGGAAUUCCUGGUGUAGCGGUGAAAUGCGCAGAUAUCAGGAGGAACACCGGUGGUGAAGGCGGGUCUCUGGGCAAUAACUGACGCUGAGGAGCGAAAGCGUGGGGGAGCGAACAGG
Molecule: ribosomal RNA, 255 nt
Filed under: uncultured bacterium
Lineage: Bacteria
Description: partial 16S ribosomal RNA
Rfam family: Bacterial small subunit ribosomal RNA
Source: RNAcentral